AUUAUUACCUGUAUCCACUGAGUGAUGGACGCCGUGCGCCAUCCCCAUCAUAAUAGAGUAUGCCAUCAUCCGGUUACUUCCGCAUUAGCAGGAGAGGAGCUUAAUGGAAACAGAAGUCUAUCUGAUGGCUUGAUCUUCAAGGAUAGAAGCAACUGCUGUUAUUGUAUUUAAGUAUUUUGCAUUUCCUGUCAAUCAAUAAUUAUUAACAAA
Halichondria panicea is the source of this 210-nucleotide long non-coding RNA. RefSeq lists it as uncharacterized. The record is from RefSeq and is a predicted model, not a curated record. NCBI's taxonomy places the organism in Eukaryota, Metazoa, Porifera, Demospongiae, Suberitida, Halichondriidae. The transcript has 2 exons.